This 62-nucleotide transfer RNA is filed under the name Xylosandrus morigerus. RNAcentral describes it as "tRNA-Cys". Lineage: Eukaryota; Metazoa; Arthropoda; Insecta; Coleoptera; Curculionidae. The record is from RNAcentral.
AAUUAUAUAGUCAAUAAUGACACUGAAUUGCAAAUUCAGAGGAGAAUUUAAUUCUGUAGUUU